CCGUUAUCAGACAUAAAAACGAUAAUCGAGUUUUCCAGCAUGUUAGCGUGCCUCAACGCCUGGACAACUCUACCGACAGAUUCAUCCAUGGCGGUAACCACGCCUGAAAACAAGGAAACAUACAUUGCAAUAAGACGCUGCGAGUAUAUAACAAGUAGUAGUCGAUGCACCGAGAAUAAGGCGACAAAUAUAAGAGUCACGGUCCAAGCUCGAGUUCAAGCUGGAGGUGUCAGGUAUAAAUGCAAAAGUACGAGGAAUGUCGAGCUUGUCGAUUGGAAAAGUAACCCAAGGCUGUAACCCGAAAACAACAUUGGGCUCAAAUUUUACCAGUACAGGGUGCACCGUAACACCCCACGUUGGAUCCACUUCAGCAGAAGACAGGGGGAACAAAAACAACGAGAAAGGU
Long non-coding RNA from Bombus pascuorum, 406 nucleotides. RefSeq lists it as uncharacterized. The transcript has 3 exons. The record is from RefSeq and is a predicted model, not a curated record. NCBI's taxonomy places the organism in Eukaryota, Metazoa, Arthropoda, Insecta, Hymenoptera, Apidae.